Termitomyces sp. J132 is the source of this 95-nucleotide transfer RNA. It matches the Rfam family "tRNA". From Rfam's summary of the family: Transfer RNA (tRNA) molecules are approximately 80 nucleotides in length. Their secondary structure includes four short double-helical elements and three loops (D, anti-codon, and T loops). Further hydrogen bonds mediate the characteristic L-shaped molecular structure. tRNAs have two regions of fundamental functional importance: the anti-codon, which is responsible for specific mRNA codon recognition, and the 3' end, to which the tRNAs corresponding amino acid is attached (by aminoacyl-tRNA synthetases). tRNAs cope with the degeneracy of the genetic code in two manners: having more than one tRNA (with a specific anti-codon) for a particular amino acid; and 'wobble' base-pairing, i.e. permitting non-standard base-pairing at the 3rd anti-codon position. The record is from Rfam. NCBI's taxonomy places the organism in Eukaryota, Fungi, Basidiomycota, Agaricomycetes, Agaricales, Lyophyllaceae.
UCGGAUAUGGUGUAAUGGCUAACAUUGCCGCCUCUCAUUGUGAAAUAACUUGUUCAAGCGCGCGGCAGCUCGGGGUUCGAUUCCCCGUAUCCGAA